UCCAUGAUGUUGAUUAUGACAAUGGUGGUGGUGAAUAUGGUUAUGAUGAUAAAUUGAUAAUAUUGGACUAUGUUGUUGAACAACAGAUUAUGAUGAAGAACGUAGCAUUGGGAUAUGCAUGUUGGGUGGAAUGGCUUUGAUUCAUGAUGAAAGUCAGGCCCUUGAUUGAGUGGAAUGGCCAUGGGAUAAGGCUUAGAUGACGACGACGACAAUGAUGACCUCUGCUGCUAUUGGAUUUUCUACUUGAAGUUCUGAAUAUAUGAGUUGCUCUUCUAUUCUUCAUAUGCCCAGUUGGUUUGCUGUUCGCUAUGGGCUUCUAUCCUUCAAUCCUUCAGCUCAUGGGAGUGAAUUUCGUGGUACUUUGCUUGUCAUGAGCAGUGGGGUUUUGCUGGGCAGUAUCCUAUCAAAUUCCAAGGUUUUUAAAGUUGUAGUGCAGAAUUGCAGGCCAGUAACAGCCCCAAGGAUCUGUUCUGAUUUCGAUUGAUUCAUAGAAUUUGGUUGUUAUAAUGAGAUGGGCUGGCCCCUUGUGCUAUUUGUAUGGGCUGCUCAGAUGUCAGACAGUCUUUCAGUGAUUCAUGGGUUCAUUUUGUAUUCGAAUUGAUGCAGCUGGAGCUGGUUUCUUUCUUCCUCUUCUCCUUCUUGCUUCUUUUCUUAUUGUUUUUUUUAGUAGCUCAGCGCAGAUGAUGUCCAAUGUGAAGGUCUAUCUAUGCAUAAGCGGCUAGCUGUUGCUGUCUGCAUUGGAUGGUUUAUUUUGCAGUGGAUUCAUUGAUGGAGAUCCGGUGCUGGCUGGUAGCAACUUGAUUUUGGUCCAAGUUUUUGUGCAUUCAUGGCCUUCUGAUGUUGGUAUGGUCAUGUAUUGGAUAUGGGCAAUUUGUCUAGCUUUGAUUAAUCAAAGUAGGUCACUUGUUUAUGCAUUGUCAGUUUGCAAACUUCAUGUAAGAAGCUUUUCCGAUGUCCUUGGUGUAGGUUUAUAUUCUGGGCUGGUAGCAUGUGGAAUUAGGUGCAAGCAUGGGGAAGAAAAAUACUCAUUCUUACUAUCAUUUUACAAUUAAACACAACUGCUGUGGCUGCCAGUGACUAACUCCUAGUUAACAAGUCAUAAGUAGUGAUAGAUGAUUCAAAAUGACUCAAUCUCACAUCAGUUUGCUCUGCCCAUCUGAUUGCUCUAGGGAACUCUGCAUGGCCCACUUCAAUGGCGAUUGGAGUAGAUUGAUCUCGAAGAGAUCCCAACUUCUCAAGCACCCUUAUGAGUCCAAUCAUGAACUGUUCGUGACGAAUGCAUACGGCUUUGUGACUCAAUUCAGCUCACAUCUGUGCCAGCUUUGUAUUGCUUUCAUCAUUCCUAAUGCAUGCAUAGACCAAAGAUGUUUCUGAUUUGAGUGUGCAUUUGCAUGCCUCCAACAGAAUCCAUGAAGCCUAACAGAAAAAUUCCAAGCAAGCUGCAUGCAUAUAACAAAGUGCACCCUCCAACAGAAUCCAUGUACCCUAACAGAAAAAUUCCAAGCAUAUAACAUCUAA
This is a long non-coding RNA of Magnolia sinica, 1518 nucleotides long. RefSeq lists it as uncharacterized. The record is from RefSeq and is a predicted model, not a curated record. The transcript is spliced from 3 exons. NCBI's taxonomy places the organism in Eukaryota, Viridiplantae, Streptophyta, Magnoliopsida, Magnoliales, Magnoliaceae.